Molecule: long non-coding RNA, 233 nt
Organism: Saccostrea echinata
Lineage: Eukaryota; Metazoa; Mollusca; Bivalvia; Ostreida; Ostreidae
Exons: 3
Source: RefSeq, a predicted model, not a curated record
CGAGCAUCCAGGAGGAGAAUUUCGAUCGAAGUACAGAUUUUUCUUGAAUUCGAGAACAAUGAUGUUAAUACCAGCUGAUAAAAGAGGAAUAGUGUAAGUGCCCGAUGGGUACGAACGUCAUCUUGUGACUGCAUCACCUUUGUUUGGCUUAAGUACAAGAGAAUUGCAGCACCGAAGACUUAACAUGUACAUCGAUUUGAAUAAUCUGUAUCCUCAAAAGGCAACUCGAAUAC